This 73-nucleotide transfer RNA is filed under the name Salmo salar (Atlantic salmon). It matches the Rfam family "tRNA". From Rfam's summary of the family: Transfer RNA (tRNA) molecules are approximately 80 nucleotides in length. Their secondary structure includes four short double-helical elements and three loops (D, anti-codon, and T loops). The record is from Rfam by way of RNAcentral. Lineage: Eukaryota; Metazoa; Chordata; Actinopteri; Salmoniformes; Salmonidae.
UUCCCUGUGGCUCAGUUGGUAGAGCAUGGUGUGUGCAACGCCAGGGUUGUGGGUUUGAUUCCCACGGGGGACA